AGUGUAUGUUUUGCACUGCAGCCAUCACCCCUGGAUUCUGGAUGCAGAAGGAACAUUGUGGACAAGGGAUGGGGAGGAAGUAGAAAUAUGGUUCCAGUCUGGGGCUGAGUUUCAUCUUCCAAUCCAGGUUUUAUUGGUUUUUAAAACUUAAUUUUUGAAUAUUCAUUUGACUCCUGUGCUUGUUUCUCAAUUGCUUCAGAGGAAAAGGAUGGCUUUGUCAAACUUGUAUUUGUCCCUGGGGUAAAGGGCUUCAAUGCUGAGCAUCGAGCAUAAGGAGUUGGAGAAAGAGAUGUGGGUGAUUUACCUCUGCCAUGUAAGUCCUCCAUUAUUUGUCUUGUCUUAGUCCUAUUUCUUCCUUGUACCCAUCAAAGCAUUGGCAUUUCUUAGUCUGCAUCUUCUUGGGGGUUCUGCUGAAUAAGUCCGCUUUUCAUUAGCUGCAACUUUCUUUUCAAGUGUUCUAGGUUUUGUCUUUCUGUUCUUGGAUUAAUGACUCACGCAUUCAUCUCUUUUUGUCUGUCAGAAAUGUGUUUAAACCUGUCUUUAAUUGAUGCCCCCACCCUGCUCUCAGCUGUCAACUUAUUUAUUUACCUUUUUUACCUUUAUUUUACUUGCAUGUUGGGACCUGAAAAAAGUGGAGGUGGGUACGUACCAAUGCUUUAUCUACUAUCUUGCCCUGACGAAUCCACCUCUCACAUGAAACAAUAUCGGAUUGGCAAAAAUAAAUGAAUUUCAUCUGAAGAGAAUUAACACAAGCAUACACAUAUACACAGGAGUGCACAUAAAAAUUAAUCUUCAAGAGGAUAGAAACAGGGGAUGGUGUAGUUCCUGCCAUGAAGUACAGAUCAACUGGUACCAGAGAUUCAAAAUUGUGGAAUGGAUCAUGGGGAUUUCUCUCUUCCCUGUCAUAAAGAGUAAUUCAAUCAGGAAAACUGACAUGCAUUGUUGUAUUGUGGGUGCAACAGCUGAGAAGAUGAAAAAGACAUAGAGAAAGGGGAUAUUGGAAAUAAAAGGAUGUUAAAAUGAUAUAAUUUUUAAGAAGGUUGAGAAGGAAUAUGGGAUAUUUAUAUUCCUCUAAAUUUGAUAGAUAAUGAUGUCCACAAAGAAGAGUUUGCUGAAAUAAUUUUAAAUUUUGGUGAGCACAGACUAUCAAUGCCAAACGCAAUGGGUAAUUUUCUGUGUCAGCUUGGCUAGGCUGUGAUCUCCAAGUGUUUGUUCAAACAGCAAUCGUAGAUGUCCUUGUGAAGGUAUUUUUAGGUAAGAUUAACAUUUAAAUCAGUAGUCUUUGAGUAAAGCAGAUGACCUGCAAUAAUGUGAGUGGGUCUCAAAUUUGUUUUAAGUUGAAGGCCUUAAGAGAGAAAGAUUAAGGUCAUCCAUGAAAGAGGGAAUUCUGCUACCAGAUUGCAUUUGGACUCAAGCUGCAAUAUCAGCUCUUCCCUGGGUCUCCAACCUGACAGCCUGUCCUAUAGAUAAGAGCUUGCCAGUCCCCACAAUCACAUGACACAUGAGCCAGUCCUUUUUUUUUUAGCCAAUUCUUUAAAAUUCUUCUCCUCUCUCUCUCUCUCUCUCCCCCGCCUCUCCCUCUCUCUCUCCCUUCUUUCUCUGUGUAUACACAUGCACGCGUGCACGCGCGCACACACACACACACACACACACACUCAUCCUAUUAGUUCCGUUUCUCUGGAGAACCCAGACUAAUGUACUUCCUCAGUAAUUGUUUUAGCAUUCUGGAUUCUGUUACUUUACUAUCAGCCUUAAAAUUGCAAAAAGAAGAAGGAAAGUUUUAUCAACCAUUUCAGACACUAAGUUUUCAGCCUUUUGGGAUCAAGGAAAAUACAAUCCAUAUGUUUUGGACUCACUUGCUAUUAUCCAGAACAUUAUAUCGGAGAUGGUUUAAAAUUUCUGGCUGGUUCAAUAUACGCAAAUCAAUAAAUGUAAUCCAGCAUAUAAACAGAACCAAAGACAAAAACCACAUGAUUAUCUCAAUAGAUGCAGAAAAAGCCUUUGACAAAAUUCAACAACACUUCAUGCUAAAAACUCUCAAUAAAUUAGGUAUUGAUGGGACAUAUUUCAAAAUAAUAAGAGCUAUCUAUGACAAACCCACAGCCAAUAUCAUACUGAAUGGGCAAAAACUGGAAGCAUUCCCUUUGAAAACUGGCACAAGACAGGGAUGCCCUCUCUCACCACUCCUAUUCAACAUAGUGUUGGAAGUUCUGGCCAGGGCAAUUAAGCAGGAGAAGUAAAUAAAGGGUAUUCAAUUAGGAAAAGAGGAAGUCAAAUUGUCCCUGUUUGCAGACGACAUGAUUGUAUAUCUAGAAAACCCCAUUGUCUCAGCCCAAAAUCUCCUUAAGCUGAUAAGCAACUUCAGCAAAGUCUCAGGAUACAAAAUCAAUGUAAAAAAAUCACAGGCAUUCUUAUACACCAAUAACAGACAAACAGAGAGCCAAAUCAUGAGUGUACUCCCAUUCACAAUUGCUUCAAAGAGAAUAAAAUACCUAGGAAUCCAACUUACAAGGGAUGUGAAGGACCUCUUCAAGGAGAACUACAAACCACUGCUCAAGGAAAUAAAAGAGGAUACAAACAAAUGGAAGAACAUUCCAUGCUCAUGCGUAGGAAGAAUCAAUAUCAUGAAAAUGGCCAUACUGCUCAAGGUAAUUUACAGAUUCAAUGCCAUCCCCAUAAAGCUACCAAUGACUUUCUUCACAGAAUUGGAAAAAACUACUUUAAAGUUCAUAUGGAACCAAAAAAGAGCCCGCAUUGCCAAGGCAAUCCUAAGCCAAAAGAACAAAGCUGGAGGCAUCACACUACCUGACUUCAAACUAUACUACAAGGCUACAGUAACCAAAACAGCAUGGUACUGGCACCAAAACAGAGAUAUAGAUCAAUGGAACACAACAGAGCCCUCAGAAAUAAUGCCGCAUAUCUACAACUAUCUGACCUUUGACAAACCUGAGAAAAACAAGCAAUGGGGAAAGGAUUCCCUAUUUAAUAAAUGGUGCUGGGAAAACUGGCUAGCCAUAUGUAGAAAGCUGAAACUGGAUCCCUUCCUUACACCUUAUACAAAAAUCAAUUCAAGAUGGAUUAAAGACUUAAUCGUUAGACCUAAAACCAUAAAAACCCUAGAAGAAAACCUAGGCAUUACCAUUCAGGACAUAGGCAUGGGCAAG
This 3164-nucleotide long non-coding RNA is filed under the name Homo sapiens (human). RNAcentral describes it as "non-protein coding lnc-CDH2-7:4". The record is from RNAcentral. Lineage: Eukaryota; Metazoa; Chordata; Mammalia; Primates; Hominidae.